This 576-nucleotide ribosomal RNA is filed under the name Lachancea thermotolerans. RNAcentral's name for it is "partial large subunit ribosomal RNA". It matches the Rfam family "Eukaryotic large subunit ribosomal RNA", at positions 84 to 671 of the family's 3401-position model. Lineage: Eukaryota; Fungi; Ascomycota; Saccharomycetes; Saccharomycetales; Saccharomycetaceae. The record is from RNAcentral.
AAGCGGGUGUGGAGCGCGCAAAAGCUCAAAUUUGAAAUCUGGCACCUUCGGUGUCCGAGUUGUAAUUUGAAGAAGCUACUUUGUGGGCUAGUCCUUGUCUAUGUUCCUUGGAACAGGACGUCAUGGAGGGUGAGAAUCCCGUAUGGCGAGGAGUCUAGUCCUAUGUAAAGUGCUUUCGACGAGUCGAGUUGUUUGGGAAUGCAGCUCUAAGUGGGUGGUAAAUUCCAUCUAAAGCUAAAUAUUGGCGAGAGACCGAUAGCGAACAAGUACAGUGAUGGAAAGAUGAAAAGAACUUUGAAAAGAGAGUGAAAAAGUACGUGAAAUUGUUGAAAGGGAAGGGCAUUUGAUCAGACAUGGUGUUUUGCGACCCUCGCUCCUUGUGGGUGGGGAUCUCGCAGCUCACUGGGCCAACAUCAGUUUUGGCGGUAGGAUAAAUCUUUGGGAACGUGGCUUGUCUUCGGAGAAGCGUUAUAGCCCAGGGGAAUACUGCCAGCCGGGACUGAGGACUGCGACUUUUGUCAAGGAUGUUGGCAUAAUGGUUAUAAUGCCGCCCGUCUUCGUAAACACGGACCAAAG